CCACCCAGUGGCGUCCUCGCUAACUCCCUAAUUGCUGUGGGCAACCUCAGCACCAUGACACCUGCCCUGGAGCCAGAACUGGAGACCCACCUCCUUCGAGCUGCCCUGCAUGCCAUCUUCACUCUGGGCAUGGAGAAGGACACCACCCAAGUCCAGGAUCUGCAUAAGGUCUUGCCAGACCUCCUGGAUGCCAUGCUGAGGAACC
Molecule: non-coding RNA, 205 nt
Organism: Chelonoidis abingdonii (Abingdon island giant tortoise)
Lineage: Eukaryota; Metazoa; Chordata; Testudines; Testudinidae
Source: RefSeq, a predicted model, not a curated record